Molecule: long non-coding RNA, 135 nt
Organism: Ananas comosus (pineapple)
Lineage: Eukaryota; Viridiplantae; Streptophyta; Magnoliopsida; Poales; Bromeliaceae
Exons: 3
Source: RefSeq, a predicted model, not a curated record
UGGGGAUCUGGUUAGGAAGGUAUUCUAACCAAGGCAAGAGCGUGAUUGAGCCUUGGAUCAUUUUCAGUUGGCAUUGGAGAGCAAUUGGAGGCUUAAUUUGAGGAUUGAAGCUUCAUGGAGCUUGAAUUCGGAACC